RNAcentral lists this ribosomal RNA (356 nucleotides) under Pelobates cultripes (western spadefoot toad). Its description in RNAcentral is "SSU_rRNA_eukarya". It matches the Rfam family "Eukaryotic small subunit ribosomal RNA", at positions 68 to 427 of the family's 1831-position model. The record is from RNAcentral. Lineage: Eukaryota; Metazoa; Chordata; Amphibia; Anura; Pelobatidae.
GUGACCGUGGCGGAGGAAGCAGCGGUGGAGGAGGAGGUAGCCAACAUUGUUUUUUUAUAUAUAUAUAUAUAUAUUUUAAUUGGGGUAGCCCCCGAAAUAUCGGGACAUAUAAAAAAAACACAACUAUGUUCCGCAGAGUAGCUGUUGACAUUAUAGUUGUGCAGGAACUUUGUUGACUCUAGAGAACCUCGGGCAAAUCGCCCAUCCCCGUGGCGGCGACUUUGCAUGCGGAUGUCAUCCAUAUCAACUUUCGAUGCCAGUUUCUGCGCCUACCAUGGUGAGCAUGGGUAAUAGGGAAUCAGGAUUUCCUUCCGUACAGGGACCCUGAGAAACGGCUACCACAUGCAAGAAAGGCA